This 444-nucleotide ribosomal RNA is filed under the name uncultured bacterium. Its description in RNAcentral is "partial 16S ribosomal RNA". It matches the Rfam family "Bacterial small subunit ribosomal RNA", at positions 338 to 795 of the family's 1533-position model. The record is from RNAcentral.
CCUACGGGUGGCAGCAGUGGGGAAUAUUGGGCAAUGGAGGAAACUCUGACCCAGCAAUGCCGCGUGAAUGAAGAAGGUCUUCGGAUUGUAAAGUUCUUUAGUCUGGGAAGAAGUCAAUGACGGUACCUGAAGAAUAAGCUCCGGAUACCUACGUUCCAGCAGCCGCGGGAAUACGUAAGGAGCAAGCGUUGUUCGGAUGGACUGGGCGUUAAGGGUGCGUAGGCGGGUGUACAAGUUAGUAGGGAAAUACCCAGGGCUUAACUCGGGUGUUGCUUCUAACACUGUAGGACUUGAGUGCAGUAGAGGUGAGUGGAAUUCCUGGUGUAGCGGUGGAAUGCGUAGAUAUUAGGAGGAACACCAGAGGCGAAGGCGGCUAACUGGACUGCAACUGACGCUGAGGCACGAAAGUGUGGGGAGCAAACAGGAUUAGAUACCCCUGUAGUC